RNAcentral lists this ribosomal RNA (253 nucleotides) under uncultured bacterium. RNAcentral describes it as "partial 16S ribosomal RNA". It matches the Rfam family "Bacterial small subunit ribosomal RNA", at positions 524 to 776 of the family's 1533-position model. The record is from RNAcentral.
UACGAAGGGGGCUAGCGUUGUUCGGAAUUACUGGGCGUAAAGCGCACGUAGGCGGAUUGUUAAGUCAGGGGUGAAAUCCCAGAGCUCAACUCUGGAACUGCCUUUGAUACUGGCAAUCUCGAGUCCGGAAGAGGUGAGUGGAACUCCUAGUGUAGAGGUGGAAUUCGUAGAUAUUAGGAAGAACACCAGUGGCGAAGGCGGCUUACUGGUCCGGUUCUGACGCUGAGGCGCGAAAGCGUGGGGAGCAAACAGG